This 21-nucleotide non-coding RNA is filed under the name Arabidopsis thaliana (thale cress). Lineage: Eukaryota; Viridiplantae; Streptophyta; Magnoliopsida; Brassicales; Brassicaceae. The record is from RNAcentral.
UGGUUACUGUUUUGAUUGCGC